This 84-nucleotide transfer RNA is filed under the name Mangrovicoccus sp. RNAcentral describes it as "tRNA-Leu". It matches the Rfam family "tRNA". From Rfam's summary of the family: Transfer RNA (tRNA) molecules are approximately 80 nucleotides in length. Their secondary structure includes four short double-helical elements and three loops (D, anti-codon, and T loops). Further hydrogen bonds mediate the characteristic L-shaped molecular structure. tRNAs have two regions of fundamental functional importance: the anti-codon, which is responsible for specific mRNA codon recognition, and the 3' end, to which the tRNAs corresponding amino acid is attached (by aminoacyl-tRNA synthetases). tRNAs cope with the degeneracy of the genetic code in two manners: having more than one tRNA (with a specific anti-codon) for a particular amino acid; and 'wobble' base-pairing, i.e. permitting non-standard base-pairing at the 3rd anti-codon position. The record is from RNAcentral. Lineage: Bacteria; Pseudomonadati; Pseudomonadota; Alphaproteobacteria; Rhodobacterales; Paracoccaceae.
GCCCGCGUGGUGGAAAGGCAGACACAGGGGACUUAAAAUCCCUCGCCGCAGGGCAUGCCGGUUCGAAUCCGGCCGCGGGCACCA